RNAcentral lists this ribosomal RNA (772 nucleotides) under Salmonella enterica. RNAcentral describes it as "partial 23S ribosomal RNA". It matches the Rfam family "Bacterial large subunit ribosomal RNA", at positions 543 to 1215 of the family's 2925-position model. Lineage: Bacteria; Pseudomonadati; Pseudomonadota; Gammaproteobacteria; Enterobacterales; Enterobacteriaceae. The record is from RNAcentral.
AAAGAACCUGAAACCGUGUACGUACAAGCAGUGGGAGCCCCACCACUAAGCCAGUGGUGAACUCCACAUACGCAUCCUUUGCUGAGGAUACGGUUAACGGAGCGCAAGCGACGUUCAACCUCAAAAGAAGCAGAGGGGGCUUAGUGGUGGGGUGACUGCGUACCUUUUGUAUAAUGGGUCAGCGACUUAUAUUCUGUAGCAAGGUUAACCGAAUAGGGGAGCCGGAGGGAAACCGAGUCUUAAUUGGGCGUUAAGUUGCAGGGUAUAGACCCGAAACCCGGUGAUCUAGCCAUGGGCAGGUUGAAGGUUGGGUAACACUAACUGGAGGACCGAACCGGCUAAUGUUGAAAAAUUAGCGGAUGACCUGUGGCUGGGGGUGAAAGGCCAAUCAAACCGGGAGAUAGCUGGUUCUCCCCGAAAGCUAUUUAGGUAGCGCCUCGUGAAUUCAUCUCCGGGGGUAGAGCACUGUUUCGGCUAGGGGGCCAUCCCGGCUUACCAACCCGAUGCAAACUGCGAAUACCGGAGAAUGCUAUCACGGGAGACACACGGCGGGUGCUAACGUCCGUCGUGAAGAGGGAAACAACCCAGACCGCCAGCUAAGGUCCCAAAGUCAUGGUUAAGUGGGAAACGAUGUGGGAAGGCCCAGACAGCCAGGAUGUUGGCUUAGAAGCAGCCAUCAUUUAAAGAAAGCGUAAUAGCUCACUGGUCGAGUCGGCCUGCGCGGAAGAUGUAACGGGGCUAAACCAUGCACCGAAGCUGCGGCAGCGACGCU